AGAAUUCUUGGAAUGAAGAGGAAAUCCAGGAUCUGCUGUAUCCAGCUUUUUCAGUACUAGGUAUUAGCAAGGCUACAUACUUCUAUGAUGUUUCACUCCAUAUUUAUUAAAAUAUGAUUAUGAUAUGAAUAUGACAUAACGUAACAUUUAGGGUAAGAAAUUUUAUUUUGUAACCUGUUUCUUAAGUAUAUUGAGCUUAGCUUGCGUACUUUGGUUUAUUUGCUCAGUAAUGUGCUUUGGUCUGUCAAUUCUCUCUUACAUUCACUUAAAAUUCACCUUUUGUCGUUAAUACGUUUAUUAUUUAUAAUAUAACCCAGUAUAUGUAAUUUCUAACUGGAGGGGCAAGAAGUUGUGCAUAUCUCCCUCCACAUUGAGGGAGGGGGUGAAUUUCAUAAAACUUUUGGGUUUGUACCCCUUAAAGGGAGUGGGCACCAGAGCGGAUCUCUGUCUCUCUGUGCAGCUGGGAGUGGCCUUGCCUGUGUGCUUGGCUGGAAGAGGCUUGUGAGCCAAACCCAGCAAGGGCAGGUAAAGGGGACCCAGGCUGGCAGAACAGGCUGACUUAGUGGCAUCUUUGGAGCCUACAGGGUUAGACAGCAGCUGAACUGGAGUUUUGUGGUGCACAGUGGUACCUAAAAAGUAGGAUUUAGGCACCAAAGUAUCUUGGUGGCUAGCACCAACGGACAACAAAUGAAAACCAAUAAUGUAAUAGUUAAUUGACAUCUCUGCAGGCUUUUCCCAAGAAUGUUACCUUCACUGUGACUUGUCACUGACUGGACAUUUUUUUUUUUUUAUGAAUUGCGACACUGCCUGAUUUUCAAACUGUACCAAGUUCAUACUCCAAACAGAGGAGAGUUCAAAAACUGAUCGUUGUGGCAUUUGAACAGCUCUGCUUCUGUUUUCAUCCAGCAGGAAGACUUCAGGGAAAGAAUGUUCCUUUGUCUAAAAUCUUUCUGCCACCUCCAGUGUAUCCAGUUGCUCUUGGAGAUGGACUGAACCAGAUGGCAGGGACGCCAUUCCUGAAAGCCUGAUUGCAAGUAGAACCACCACAUGAAGAAAAGAUGUGUUUGCCCUCAACAGCAAAAGCCUUUUGC
This is a long non-coding RNA of Malaclemys terrapin pileata, 1091 nucleotides long. RefSeq lists it as uncharacterized. The record is from RefSeq and is a predicted model, not a curated record. The transcript is spliced from 3 exons. Lineage: Eukaryota; Metazoa; Chordata; Testudines; Emydidae.